This is a long non-coding RNA of Salvelinus sp. IW2-2015, 839 nucleotides long. RefSeq lists it as uncharacterized. NCBI's taxonomy places the organism in Eukaryota, Metazoa, Chordata, Actinopteri, Salmoniformes, Salmonidae. The record is from RefSeq and is a predicted model, not a curated record.
ACACUAUGGGAGAAAAAUUGCAACUUUUCUCAGAAAUGUAUGAAAACAACUCCAGAAUGAAACUAUUGUUGUAUCUUAUGGCUGUCACGGUCAUUUAAUAACGACUGGUGAGCAGAAAUACAAGAUAAUUUGACCUUCACAACCAAUUUUAGGGUCUGUGGAGGCAGAGGCGUAGCCAGAGGGGUGUCCGGCAAUUUGAUGUUGAUUGACAUCUCAUUUCACCUCUUGUUGAAGGAAGCGUUUAUUUUGAAGUUUUCAAAUCAAGGACGAGGAACAGAGAAUAUUAAUGUUGGUUGCGAGAUACAUAAGAAUAAGAAGAACAUACAGAAGAAGAAGAGAGAAUAUUUCCACGGCUCUACAAGCUCUUUUCGCGAUUGGUGAAAGCAUCAUAUUUGAAAUGUAUCAAGGGAUGACACAGAGACCUCUGGCUCUGAGCAAGACAGUGAGCCAGAGCUGCCAGGAGAUGGGAGCCCCUCCCAACUGCAUCAAGCACCAGAUAUGCUGUUCCAAAAGGACCCAAUGACAUUCAAGAUCUAAUUUUGAAAACAUCCAUGUUUGAAAACAUUUCCCAGAACUCAGCAUGGUACUAGGAAAAGGGCUUUCAACAGCUCCUGGUAUAAGGACAAUUCAUGGCUUGAAUAUUCUGUAAGUCAAGGAUCCACUUAUUGUUUCGCAUGUAGGCAUUUUUCUCUGCCCAAUACACCUGAAUCUGCCUUCACAUCACAGUAAGGUUUUUGUAACUGGAAAAAGGCGCUGUUUAAAGAUUCUGGGUUUUGUCACGUUCUGACCUUAGUUCCUUUUUUAUGUCUUUGUGUUAGUUUGGUCAGGGCGUGAGUUGG